UACAGAGGUCCCGAGCGUUGUUCGGAUUCAUUGGGCGUAAAGGGUGCGUAGGCGGCGGGGUAAGUCUGAUGUGAAAUCCUGGGGCUCAACCCCAGAACUGCAUUGGAUACUGCCUUGCUAGAGUACUGGAGAGGAAACUGGAAUUUACGGUGUAGCAGUGAAAUGCGUAGAGAUCGUAAGGAAGACCAGUGGCGAAGGCGAGUUUCUGGACAGUUCCUGACGCUGAGGCACGAAGGUCAGGGGAGCAAACGGG
RNAcentral lists this ribosomal RNA (253 nucleotides) under uncultured bacterium. RNAcentral's name for it is "partial 16S ribosomal RNA". It matches the Rfam family "Bacterial small subunit ribosomal RNA", at positions 524 to 776 of the family's 1533-position model. The record is from RNAcentral.